CGACCGGCGCACGGGUGAGUAACACGUAUCCAACCUGCCUCAUACUCGGGGAUAGCCUUUCGAAAGAAAGAUUAAUAUCCGAUAGCAUAUAUUUCCCGCAUGGGUUUUAUAUUAAAGAAAUUCGGUAUGAGAUGGGGAUGCGUUCCAUUAGUUUGUUGGGGGGGUAACGGCCCACCAAGGCGACGAUCAGUAGCCGACCUGAGAGGGUGACCGGCCACAUUGGGACUGAGACACGGCCCAG
RNAcentral lists this ribosomal RNA (241 nucleotides) under uncultured bacterium. Its description in RNAcentral is "partial 16S ribosomal RNA". It matches the Rfam family "Bacterial small subunit ribosomal RNA", at positions 92 to 334 of the family's 1533-position model. The record is from RNAcentral.